UAAUACCCGGGGACCAAGUGAUGGCCAGAAUUAUUGGGUCUAAAGCGUCCGUAGCCGGUUCAAAAAAUCCCUAGUGAAAUCUUUCAGUAAACUGAAAGGAGUGCUUGGGAUACUCUUGGACUUGAGACUGAGAGGGGAUAGGGAUACUCUUAGGGUAGGGGUAAAAUCCUAUAAUCCUGAGAGGAUCACCAGUGGCGAAGGCGCCUAUCUGGAACAGGUCUGACGGUGAGGGACGAAGGCUAGGGGAGCGAUUGGGAUUAGAUACCCCAGUAGUCCUAGCAGUAAACGAUGCCCGCUUGGUGUUGCAAGCUUCUCGGGAGCUUGCAGUGCCGGAGCGUAGGUGUUAAGCGGGCCACCUGGGAAGUACGGUCGCAAGGCUG
This 380-nucleotide ribosomal RNA is filed under the name uncultured archaeon. RNAcentral describes it as "bacterial SSU rRNA". It matches the Rfam family "Archaeal small subunit ribosomal RNA", at positions 471 to 851 of the family's 1478-position model. The record is from RNAcentral.